This is a long non-coding RNA of Varanus komodoensis (Komodo dragon), 2080 nucleotides long. RefSeq lists it as uncharacterized. Lineage: Eukaryota; Metazoa; Chordata; Lepidosauria; Squamata; Varanidae. The record is from RefSeq and is a predicted model, not a curated record. The transcript is spliced from 3 exons.
AUUUGGGGUGGGGGGAAACUUAUGAGGAAGGGCUUGCUGUUUGAUGUCUUCCUACGGGCUUUGACUGAAUGUGGGAAGCUGGAGAAAUCAGACCACUCACUCAGUCUUUGGCCCCCUCGUCUGUAAGAUCAGUCUGGCAGAAGGGUGACCAUCAAGGCCGUUGAGUCUGUGUACCCAAAGCCUCUCCCUCGGAGAACAUCUGUCUCACUCCAGCCAUUUUUUCUGAAACAUGGAAAAAGGGAUUGCUUGGCUUUUGGACAAGAGGCUCCCAAGCACCAGCCAUCUUUGCGUAUUGCUUGCUUCCCCAUUUGGGCUUAACCAUGGAGACUCAAAAGGUGAAGGGCUACAAAACCCCCCUCACUUGCAUGUUCACGACAGAAGGUCCUGCCAGCCACUUCAAGAUUCCCAAUGUCAGGCUGAAAUUGAUUAAUUGGAAAGCAGCAAAUUGAAGAAAGCUGGGCAUGUUGACGUCGGAGACGCAGUCAGAAAUCUACCAAGGAUGAAAAAUGUCAUAUCUGGAGGGGGAUUGCAGAGAGGAGGGAAAAGAAGACUUUUCCAAACACAACUCUUUUGUCAAUUACUUUAAGGAUCUAGCCUUGCUCAGAGCGAGGCUCGUCAACACGGUGCCUGAAACGCUACUGGCAUUCUGGCUACACAAGGGCUCCUCAUAUUGCUAAUGUUGUGUCAGCAGUGGCAGGACAGUUUUACAAAAUGCAGCCCGGCUACCCUUGGGCAGUGACAGGCAAUUACAUUUCAUGGAGGUCUAGUCACGCAAACAGUGUCCUGGCACAAAACUAGCCACCUUUCCAUUCAUGUCUCAGUCUUCUUCCCAGAGACUCAUCCAUUUUGGUAAACAAACAAACAAACAAACAAACCCCACCUUUUCAUAUAACUAAUUGCCUCAAUGAAAAAUUGGUCCACAUCUUGAAAGCCAUUGGCCUGGUUAUUGUGGGAAAUAGCUGCACACUCAACUGAUGAUUUAGUGUUUUUCAUUUUCAUUUUGCUAUUGAGUUUGGUACCACCCAUUUCCCUACCUCAUGUGCACAUGUGGAAUAGUCUCACUUGUGGUGAUUUUUAUGGGAAGACCUGGGUUGCUACAGCUUUAAAAAUGGCCUGAACUUAAUUGCAAAGCUCAGCUUAGAUGUCUCCUGUUCUUGCUUGCUUGCUUGCUGUUUUUCAGUUCAUUUACGUGGGUAAAGUGCUGCAUUUUGUGAAAGUUGUUGGUUUUUCAAAAUACACAUUUUGUGAAUGCAAGUGCAGGAAUUUAUCAGCAUUUCAGGGCAUGUGUGCUCCUGUUUAUAUUCACACUUGGCAAGGCUGCAUUUUUGAGAGGUGUGUGAACUGAAACAAAAUCCUGAUACCUCUGGGUAGAUUAUCAUGAGCUGUUGGAUUUGGACCUGUCCUGAAAGACAUGGCAGAAACUACAGUAAAUGCAACAUAUGGCAGCCAGGGAGUGGUCUGGAUCUAGCUGGUAUGACCAUAUUCUGUCAGUACUGUACCAUCUUCCCUGGACCCCAGUUCAUUUCUGGACACAAGUCAAGAUGGUGGCAUUGACUGUUGAAGUAUCUGAAGGAAUGGCAGUUCCCGGAGGCUCCUGCCUGUGCCCUGAGGUCAUCACCUGAGUGCCCCAACACACUGAACGUCCGUGGGUGGCUACCAUGAGUGAGCUUUUCUUCUAGUGCCCUCUAAACUGCAGGAUGCCUCCUUAGAAAGCCCCGUCAGGUGCCUACUUGGUUGACUUUUCUGUGUUAAUCAAAGUCCUUCCCACUCUCAGGCCAUUCAAACUACAAAACAACUUCUUCCUGUUUUACUUUUAAUGAUACAUUUAAACCAGCAUUUUAAAUAUUCAUUCCCUGUGUUUUAGGUUCUUUGAUAUAUACACCUGGUCCAAAAUUAGGACAAAAAGUAGGAAUUUGCUUGCAAGCAAAUCUCAAGUUCUUCAUGUUCUCCCAGUUCCACAUUCAAACUGAUUACAUCUCGUAUCUAUUUCUUUGUUCUUGCUGCUGCUGUUGUUUUUUUCACAUGAACAAUCAUGUGUUUUCAUGCACAUGCUAUUAAAUGGAAUGUUUCUGGGAUUGUA